Molecule: ribosomal RNA, 500 nt
Filed under: uncultured bacterium
Lineage: Bacteria
Description: partial 16S ribosomal RNA
Rfam family: Bacterial small subunit ribosomal RNA
Source: RNAcentral
AUUGAACGCUGGCGGCAUGCCUUACACAUGCAAGUCGAACGGCAGCACGGGAGCAAUCCUGGUGGCGAGUGGCGAACGGGUGAGUAAGGUAUCGGAACGUGCCCAGUCGUGGGGGAUAACGUAGCGAAAGUUACGCUAAUACCGCAUACGAUCUAUGGAUGAAAGCGGGGGAUCGCAAGACCUCGCGCGAUUGGAGCGGCCGAUAUCAGAUUAGGUAGUUGGCGGGGUAAAAGCCCACCAAGCCGACGAUCUGUAGCUGGUCUGAGAGGACGACCAGCCACACUGGGACUGAGACACGGCCCAGACUCCUACGGGAGGCAGCAGUGGGGAAUUUUGGACAAUGGGCGCAAGCCUGAUCCAGCAAUGCCGCGUGCAGGAUGAAGGCCUUCGGGUUGUAAACUGCUUUUGUACGGAGCGAAAAGGUCUCUUCUAAUACAGGAGGCCCAUGACGGUACCGUAAGAAUAAGCACCGGCUAACUACGUGCCAGCAGCCGCCGUAA